AUUGAACGCUGGCGGAAUGCUUUACACAUGCAAGUCGAACGGUAGAGGGGGCAACCCCUCGAGAGUGGCGAACGGGUGAGUGAUAUAUCGGAACGUGCCCAGUCGUGGGGGAUAACGUAGCGAAAGUUACGCUAAUACCGCAUACGAUCUAAGGAUGAAAGCGGGGGAUCGCAAGACCUCGCGCGAUUGGAGCGGCCGAUAUCAGAUUAGGUAGUUGGUGGGGUAAAGGCUCACCAAGCCAACGAUCUGUAGCUGGUCUGAGAGGACGACCAGCCACACUGGAACGGAGACACGGUCCAGACUCCUACGGGAGGCAGCAGUGGGGAAUUUUGGACAAUGGACGCAAGUCUGAUCCAGCCAUUCCGCGUGCAGGAUGAAGGCCCUCGGGUUGUAAACUGCUUUUGUACGGAACGAAAAGGUCUCUCUUAAUACGGGGGGCUCAUGACGGUACCGUAAGAAUAAGCACCGGCUAACUACGUGCCAGCCGCCGCGUAA
Molecule: ribosomal RNA, 495 nt
Filed under: uncultured bacterium
Lineage: Bacteria
Description: partial 16S ribosomal RNA
Rfam family: Bacterial small subunit ribosomal RNA
Source: RNAcentral